GUUGCGGUGGCCGAGUGGUUAAAGCGUUGGACUAAAAAUGCAAUGCGAUCUUUCCGCGCAGAUUCGAAUCCUGCCCGCAACG
Nematostella vectensis (starlet sea anemone) is the source of this 82-nucleotide non-coding RNA. The record is from Rfam. NCBI's taxonomy places the organism in Eukaryota, Metazoa, Cnidaria, Anthozoa, Actiniaria, Edwardsiidae.